CAAUCGAACGAUUGAUAAAUUAUUGUUAUUUCUAUUGAAUAAUAGAUUAUUGAAAAUACAAAAAGUAAAACGAUGAAAUGAAAAAUAAAAGAUUGAAAGAAAGAGAAAGAGAAACUGUAGGAUAGAAACAAAGUUUCAAAUUCAGCAAACAGAAGGAAACAUAGAAAAAUGUGAAACUACAGUGUCAACCGAUGGACGAUUGUGGACAAGAAAUGUUUUUGUUCAACAUCGAAAUGAUUCAUUAUUCACACAUUUUGAAUGCAAGUGUUAAAAAAAGAAUGUUAUUUUUUUGGUACCCAUCGUUGACAGUAUGCUUAAACUGUAGUUCGAGUGUGAGCUACAAAUUGAGCGAAUAUGUACACCGCAAGAAGCAAGCUAGUCAACUGACAUGGAAUUGAGUUUAUUGUUUGUUUUUCAUGAGCAGAUUCAACAAAGUUUGCACGGAAAACAAAGCAGAAAAAAAGACUAAACGUAUAAUGUCACUUUUAAAUGUUACAGUUAAACGAGCCAUUUAUGUUCAAGAUUUACCCGCAACGCAAUUCAAUACGUAUGUAAUACUAAAACUGCAAAAUGUGAAAUCAACCACAGUUACAGUUAAAGGGAACGAACCAUAUUGGGAACAAGACUUUCUUUU
Long non-coding RNA from Contarinia nasturtii (swede midge), 634 nucleotides. RefSeq lists it as uncharacterized. The record is from RefSeq and is a predicted model, not a curated record. Lineage: Eukaryota; Metazoa; Arthropoda; Insecta; Diptera; Cecidomyiidae. The transcript is spliced from 4 exons.